Halichondria panicea is the source of this 1179-nucleotide RNA transcript. RefSeq lists it as uncharacterized. The record is from RefSeq and is a predicted model, not a curated record. Lineage: Eukaryota; Metazoa; Porifera; Demospongiae; Suberitida; Halichondriidae. The transcript has 5 exons.
AAUGCAAGUUAGACAUGAUAGUUCUAUCCCACACCAUGUUUGUAAACAACACAUGCUGUGGUGAAGGAGAUUAACCAGGGCUUCCACCUCACUUUAAAAAAGGGGCGGGCUAGACUACAAUAAUUAUUCUUACAGACAGUAUAUCUACCUCUAGGCUGUUACUGUAGUUUUGGUAGACAUUCUGAAGCUUUUUACAAUCGAAAAAACUUUUUGAAAUAUGUACACAAGAUCACUAUUAGCUGUUGUGCUAGUAUUUGUACUGCUAAAUUGGUACAAUCAAAUUGGAUUCAAGGACAAGAAUCUACUGAAAACAACGACCAUAAAAAUCCAAUCUGCAAAAUACCCAAAGGCUACACACAACAGAGUGGUUUUAUAAUAUACUACUGUGAGAUUCUACAAUCCAAUGUCCAGGCCAUGCACUUAAUAGUGGACAAUGUAAAACAAGAGAGGGAGUCAACGGGACGCUACCCAACAACAGGAGUGCGAUAUGUUCAAUUCUCUGAGAGAGCCUGUGAAUUAAUUGAUAAUACAACUUCUGAAAGAUGUGCAAGUCUCCUUAUUAUACUUGGACCAGAACUAAGACAAGGUGCCAAUGUGAUUGUGUGUGCACUGCAUGGAAAAGUCAACACUACACACAAUUGCAACACUCGACUCAAUCUGGAAAGUACAGUUGAACCAACACAAAUAAUUCACAGCAAUUUGGCUCAAAAUAACAACAAUUCAUAUCCAGAACCAAACCAAUCAUGCACAGGAAUAACCCAGAAAGAGUAUACAAGGGAUAUAGCUCUCUCUGUUGUUGUACCAACUGCAAUCUUCAUUGUUUUGAUUGUGCUCGUCUGUGUUUGGAAGAAUUGUGACUCUACUAAAUGCAGCAAAAUUCAGGCCAAUAAACCAAACCAUGAUACGACGACAACAUCAGAAACACAGUUCAUUGAAAGCAACAACACAGUUUAAAUGACUACUAUAGAUACAAACUAUCUGGACAAUCUGCAAACUCUCAUUCCUAUUCUGCAAGCAAGGCAUUUCAUAAAUUAUGCUGCAGUAGGCUAACUAAUGACCAAUAGUACUAGACUUUUCUAGAACAAAAAUAUGAUGAAAUUAUCCCUAUUCACGCACAUUAUGUCAUACAUCUACAUGUAUAGGUCCUGGAGUUAUUGCUAAAUUAUGAUGUAGAUAUAU